Molecule: long non-coding RNA, 595 nt
Organism: Diabrotica virgifera virgifera (western corn rootworm)
Lineage: Eukaryota; Metazoa; Arthropoda; Insecta; Coleoptera; Chrysomelidae
Exons: 2
Source: RefSeq, a predicted model, not a curated record
CAUCACAUAUUUCAUUUUCAUAAGAUAACCGAUAACCUAAAAAUUUAGUAAAAAUUUUGAUUGGAAAAAAAUGCAUCGAUAAGGGGGUGUGGGAAAUGGAAAUUAGUGGCUUUUCUGCUGUACUGUCUGCUAGUCAAAUCACACAACACUUUUUUCUAUGCUGCUAGUUUUUGCUCUGGGCUCUGGCUGGAUCUCUUGUUUAAACAAUUUUAAUCAGCUGAAAGUGGCCUACAAAAAAAAACCAAGAAGUAAAUGUAUAGCCUUGUGGCUAUGAAAGGCAAAAGAGAGAUAUAAAAAGUGUAUUGGCUAGUUGGAAGAAAGUCCACAUUGUCCAUGCAUAAUAAGUUAUUACUUUAUCAACAAAUAUCAAGAAGAUAGCAGGGUCACGAGCAACAACUUCAUAAGUUCAAGAAUAUCGAGGAAAUCCAGCUCCUCGAUACUACUGGGCAAACUAGAAGAUUGAAGAGGACAAAGCCUUUUGAACUAGUUUGAGUGAUAGGUGAUAGUGAAAAACGGAGCAUAGUGCUUGUGUGCUGUGCCUGUGUAUGUUAGAAUAGUGCACGAUCUUGUUAGAUUAGAUAAGAGACGCUAUGGG